CCUACGGGUGGCAGCAGUGAGGAAUAUUGGUCAAUGGACGAGAGUCUGAACCAGCCAAGUAGCGUGAAGGAUGACUGCCCUAUGGGUUGUAAACUUCUUUUAUAAAGGAAUAAAACGAGGCACGUGUGCCUUUUUGCAUGUACUUUAUGAAUAAGGAUCGGCUAACUCCGUGCCAGCAGCCGCGGUAAUACGGAGGAUCCGAGCGUUAUCCGGAUUUAUUGGGUGUAAAGGGAGCGUAGAUGGGUUGUUAAGUCAGUUGUGAAAGGUUGCGGCUCAACCGUAAAAUUGCAAUUGAUACUGGCAGUCUUGAGUACAGUUGAGGUAGGCGGAAUUCGUGGUGUAGCGGUGAAAUGCUUAGAUAUCACGAAGAACCCCGAUUGCGAAGGCAGCUUACUAAACUGUGACUGACAUUGAUGCUCGAAAGUGUGGGUAUCAAACAGGAUUAGAUACCCGAGUAGUC
RNAcentral lists this ribosomal RNA (460 nucleotides) under uncultured bacterium. RNAcentral's name for it is "partial 16S ribosomal RNA". It matches the Rfam family "Bacterial small subunit ribosomal RNA", at positions 338 to 795 of the family's 1533-position model. The record is from RNAcentral.